AGAAUCAACGCUGGCGGCGUGCCUAACACAUGCAAGUCGAACGAGAAAGUGGAGCAAUCCAUGAGUAAAGUGGCGACCGGGUGAGUAACACGUGACUAACCUACCUUCGAGUGGGGGAUAACCUCGGGAAACCGAGGCUAAUACCGCAUAACAUCGUGAGAUCAAAGCAGUAAUGCGCUGGAAGAGGGGGUCGCGGCUGAUUAGUUAGUUGGCGGGGUAAUGGCCCACCAAGACUAUGAUCGGUA
This 245-nucleotide ribosomal RNA is filed under the name uncultured bacterium. RNAcentral's name for it is "partial small subunit ribosomal RNA". It matches the Rfam family "Bacterial small subunit ribosomal RNA", at positions 26 to 285 of the family's 1533-position model. The record is from RNAcentral.